This 496-nucleotide ribosomal RNA is filed under the name uncultured bacterium. RNAcentral describes it as "bacterial SSU rRNA". It matches the Rfam family "Bacterial small subunit ribosomal RNA", at positions 15 to 507 of the family's 1533-position model. The record is from RNAcentral.
GAUCCUGGCUCAGGGAUGAACGCUGGCGGCGUGCUUAACACAUGCAAGUCGAACGAAGCACUCUACUUGAUUUCCUUCGGGAAUGAUUGUUUUGUGACUGAGUGGCGGACGGGUGAGUAACGCGUGGGUAACCUGCCUCAUACAGGGGGAUAACAGUUGGAAACGACUGCUAAUACCGCAUAAGCGCACAGCUUCGCAUGAAGUGGUGUGAAAAACUCCGGUGGUAUGGGAUGGACCCGCGUUGGAUUAGCUUGUUGGUGGGGUAACGGCUCACCAAGGCGACGAUCCAUAGCCGACCUGAAAGGGUGACCGGCCACAUUGGGACUGAGACACGGCCCAAACUCCUACGGGAGGCAGCAGUGGGGAAUAUUGCACAAUGGGCGAAAGCCUGAUGCAGCGACGCCGCGUGAAUGAAGAAGUAUUUCGGUAUGUAAAGUUCUAUCAGCAGGGAAGAAGAAUGACGGUACCUGACUAAGAAGCACCGGCUAAAUACGUG